This is a long non-coding RNA of Xiphophorus maculatus (southern platyfish), 207 nucleotides long. RefSeq lists it as uncharacterized. The record is from RefSeq and is a predicted model, not a curated record. Lineage: Eukaryota; Metazoa; Chordata; Actinopteri; Cyprinodontiformes; Poeciliidae. The transcript has 3 exons.
CAGACACCGAACAGCGAGCAGAACCAGAACCCGAACCGGAACCAGAACCGCUACCUGAGAGGGCUACUAAUUCUCUCCACCCAUCUUUCAGCGCCAGAGAAAUACAAAAGAGGUUCACAGCAGAAAAUCUGCAAGCGAGAGUUGUUUUGCUGCACGGAUUGAUUAUAGAAUCUUUUCUACUUCUGGACAGACAGCCACAACGAAAAC